RNAcentral lists this ribosomal RNA (443 nucleotides) under uncultured bacterium. RNAcentral's name for it is "partial 16S ribosomal RNA". It matches the Rfam family "Bacterial small subunit ribosomal RNA", at positions 338 to 795 of the family's 1533-position model. The record is from RNAcentral.
CCUACGGGAGGCAGCAGUGGGGAAUAUUGGGCAAUGGGCGCAAGCCUGACCCAGCAACGCCGCGUGAAGGAAGACGGCUUUCGGGUUGUAAACUUCUUUUGUCAGGGACGAAGCAAGUGACGGUACCUGACGAUUAAGCCACGGCUAACUACGUGCCAGCAGCCGCGGUAAUACGUAGGUGGCAAGCGUUAUCCGGAUUUACGGGGUGUAAAGGGUGUGUAGGCGGGACUGGAAGUCAGAUGUGAAAUCAAGGGGCUCAACCUGUGACCUGCAUUUGAAACUGGAGUUCUUGAGUACAGGGGAGGCAGACGGAAUUCCUAGUGUAGCGGUGAAAUGCGUAGAUAUCAGGAGGAACACCAGUGGCGAAGGCAGUCUGCUAGACAGCAACUGACGCUGAGGCGCGAAAGCGUGGGGAGCAAACAGGAUUAGAUACCCUUGUAGUC